Molecule: RNA transcript, 2755 nt
Organism: Triticum aestivum (bread wheat)
Lineage: Eukaryota; Viridiplantae; Streptophyta; Magnoliopsida; Poales; Poaceae
Exons: 9
Source: RefSeq, a predicted model, not a curated record
CCCCUCCCGCCUGCUCUCCUCUCUUCCCCUCCCCCUCCCAUGAAACCCUAGCCGUCGCGCCCGCACACCCCCUGCCGCCGCGCCGCUGCCGCCGUCGCUGGCGCUCGCCACGGCCCCCAUCCUCCACCUGACGCCGCCCAUCGUCUCCUCCCCACCCCCUCACACCUUCCUUCUCCUCCUCCCCAUCGGGGCUAAGCAGGAGAACGAGCACCCUCCCUCGCAACUGAGUCGACGGGAGAAUAGCUCGAGCCCCGGGGUUUGGGCGUGUUAGUGAGCGCGGCGGCGGCGGAGAGCAGCAGCAACAGGCGGCGCAGCUGCAGGCCUUGGGCAAGAUUCCUCCGACCCAAGCAGGCCUUGGGCAAGAUUCCAUCGACGGGGGAGCAGCGGGGAGAGGAACGUGAGGCCAUGGGGGAGGAAGAAGAUGGCCCCCCUCGUUCCCAAGGUUGGUCUUCGCGUGACGCUGGUUAAGGCUGGUCUGCUGCUGUCUGCAGGUGCUUGUGUUUCUGGGCGGUUCGUCCUGCUACCUCUUCGAUCAUCGCUCUACAGGUUGGUCUGCUGCUGUCUGCAGGUGCUUGUGUUUCUAGGCGGUUCGUCCUGCUGCCUCUUCGGUCAUCGCUCUACAGGUCACACUACAAGAAAUAUGCUAUCUUGUGACCUCCACUUUUGGUCACUGAAAGGUCACUGUUUUCAAUUUGUGACCUUUUUGUGACCAAAAAACGGAAGGUCAAAAGAUUUUACGACCAAUUAUUUUGGUCACUAGCAAUCCGACCACACCACGUCAGAUCCACCGUGGCAAGCUGACGUGGCAUAAUUACGACCAAAUGAAAAGAAUCCUCUAUGGUGUCGGAGAAAUGCUCUACAUGCUUGUGAUCUUUACUUUAUUUUUGAUAGAGGAGGACAUAAUUGGAGCCCAUGAAGGAUCUGAAUGGAGCAUAUGUAUGCAUGCUACGGUUCAUAGAUUUUAAGGGAACACCGCCCUGCCGAAAAGCUGACCAUUCGAGCUAGCCACACUGUGAAAGGGCCAAGCAAUAACAACCUGAUAUACAUCAGUUGACGAUGAAGAUCAGAUAUGUAACUUUAUCCAUAAGCUUAUUUGCUUCAGAGGUUUAUUGUACUGCUACAGUUUUCUCCACGGUACGGAAUCGAUGCUGGCGACCCCGCCGUUUCCACACCACCCCACGGAGGAGCACAACAGGAAGGGAUAUAGAGCGACAAAUCCUAUUUUACUGUCGUUUCCCGGUUUCCACAUCGCGGCGACUCGAUCCGCCGCUCUCGGCCACGGCGCUCCCGAAUGAGUCAGAUUUAUCGAGGGACAAGACUGGCAAGUGCUACUCCGUGUCGAUCUUCGAUCGAGGUAGGUAAGAUAUCCUUUCCCAUCCGUUCUUUUCUCUUGCUCUCUUCCAAGAUCUGUUACGCUUCUACAGCUAGGUUGUGGGAGCUAGGAAAAGUACAGGGCCGUUAAGAACAUGAGGCGCUCCCAUUCGGUCGACAAUGGAGGUUUUCUUCGUCCUUGCGAUAUCCAAUCUCCUGUCGCUAAGCAGACCCACGACACAUCCCCUCCUCGCCCCAAUCCCCUCUUCUUGACCAUUUGUGCCUUUAUGUUCUUAUAUUAUGUUAAUAAAACCAUGUACUAAUACUUUCGUUCUGGUAUUGCCAUUGGCAAAAGAAGUUUAAUACACCUGGGCGUUGUUUUGUUCUUGAUCAGAUGUAUGGACGCGCCUAUAACUAAACAUAAAAAUAGGAUAGACACUAAAUUGUUUAAAGCUGCAGAAAUUGAGAACUACACAGAAGCACACUGGACUAACAGUAUAUUUACUACCAUUUUUUCGUGAAUAGAGUAGGGACAAUAAGAUUUGUACUUGAUGUACAGAGUUUCAAUUCUCACAGUAUAUGAGUUGUAUUUGAUCUUUUAUAUGAUCUCAACUUUACUAUUCCUAGUGAAAGUAUGUUUUGCCAGAUUACUAUUAACGCAACUUUGUUUCUCCUAGAGCACUGGUAGCAACCACAUCAUGAAAGGGGCGACGAACGACGAUCCGAUAUGCAUCGCUGACAGCGAAGGGAUGAUAAUAUGCCAUAUAUCUCACAAGUUGUUUGCAUUAGGACUGUGCGAAGUGGCGCCUAUGAAAUUUAUCGACAAGGAAGUUGAAUGAAGCCACCUAUUAGUAUGCUUAGUAGCUAUGGCUCUGUAGCUCGGACGAGGAUUUAGAGCUCUCGGGUGCUCCGCGCCCCUAUAUGUACAAUACCAGGGAAAAAAAAUACCGAGAAAUUUGAAAAAAAAUCUGGGGUUUUGGGAUAUCAAACGUGGGUUACCGAUGUAUUCCCGUAUGAGGUUUGGUGAAAAAAAUACCAGGAAACGUGUUCGCGGCAAAAAAGACAAAAAUUUCCUAUGUAUAGCAAAACACUGUUUGUGUACAUUUUUUCCGAGCAGUAAUUCCUUCGCCACGGAUGCGUUUUUGGGUAUUUUUUCACGAAAUUUCGCACGGAAGUAGAUUGGGGGACCAGGUUUGACAUCCCGAAAAUUUAGAUUUUUUUUAUUUUCUGGGAAUUUUUUACGAAUAUUUUUCGUAUAGGGGUGUGGAGCACCCGAGAGCUCCUGUGUAUUUUCCUCUGUAGCUCUCCUUUAUAUGUUCCUAUUCUUAUUACUACUUCUCCUAUUAUCGUGCUUUUGGUAUCGAACUUCAAGUCGAGUGGCUGCACUUUUGGUUUUGAUCUUAAUGUCGAAUGGCUAUCUUUUGUAAUCUUACAAACGCACUUA